GAACGCUGGCGGCAUGCUUUACACAUGCAAGUCGAACGGUAACAGGCCUUCGGGCGCUGACGAGUGGCGAACGGGUGAGUAACGCAUCGGAACGUGCCCAGUCGUGGGGGAUAACGCAGCGAAAGCUGUGCUAAUACCGCAUACGAUCUGCGGAUGAAAGCGGGGGACCUUAGGGCCUCGCGCGAUUGGAGCGGCCGAUGUCAGAUUAGGUAGUUGGUGGGGUAAAGGCCCACCAAGCCAACGAUCUGUAGCUGGUCUGAGAGGACGACCAGCCACACUGGGACUGAGACACGGCCCAGACUCCUACGGGAGGCAGCAGUGGGGAAUUUUGGACAAUGGGGGCAACCCUGAUCCAGCAAUGCCGCGUGAGUGAAGAAGGCCUUCGGGUUGUAAAGCUCUUUUGUCAGGGAAGAAACAGCAGCUCUAACACAGUCUGCGAAUGACGGUACCUGAAGAAUAAGCACCGGCUAACUACAUG
This 478-nucleotide ribosomal RNA is filed under the name uncultured bacterium. Its description in RNAcentral is "bacterial SSU rRNA". It matches the Rfam family "Bacterial small subunit ribosomal RNA", at positions 31 to 507 of the family's 1533-position model. The record is from RNAcentral.